This 506-nucleotide ribosomal RNA is filed under the name uncultured bacterium. RNAcentral's name for it is "bacterial SSU rRNA". It matches the Rfam family "Bacterial small subunit ribosomal RNA", at positions 28 to 501 of the family's 1533-position model. The record is from RNAcentral.
GACGAACGCUGGCGGCGUGCCUAAUACAUGCAAGUCGAGCGAGCGGAACCAACAGAUUUACUUCGGUAAUGACGUUGGGAAAGCGAGCGGCGGAUGGGUGAGUAACACGUGGGGAACCUGCCCCUAAGUCUGGGAUACCAUUUGGAAACAGGUGUUAAUACCGGAUAAUAAAGCAGAUCGCAUGAUCAGCUUUUGAAAGGCGGCGUAAGCUGUCGCUAAGGGAUGGCCCCGCGGUGCAUUAGCUAGUUGGUAAGGUAACGGCUUACCAAGGCGACGAUGCAUAGCCGAGUUGAGAGACUGAUCGGCCACAUUGGGACUGAGACACGGCCCAAACUCCUACGGGAGGCAGCAGUAGGGAAUCUUCCACAAUGGACGCAAGUCUGAUGGAGCAACGCCGCGUGAGUGAAGAAGGUUUUCGGAUCGUAAAGCUCUGUUGUUGGUGAAGAAGGAUAGAGGUAGUAACUGGCCUUUAUUUGACGGUAAUCAACCAGAAAGUCACGGCUAAC